CCCUGUAACUUCGGGAGAAGGGGUCCCUACGUGAGUAGGGCGCAGCGAAACGAUCCAGGCGACUGUUUAUCAAAAACACAUGGCUUUGCGAAUUUGAAAGAAGAUGUAUAAGGCCUGACACCUGCCCGGUGCUGGAAGGUUAAGGGGAGAGGUUAGCGCAAGCGAAGCUUUGAACUUAAGCCCCAGUAAACGGCGGCCGUAACAAUAACGGUCCUAAGGUAG
RNAcentral lists this ribosomal RNA (222 nucleotides) under Cyclophora tenuis. Its description in RNAcentral is "partial Bacterial large subunit ribosomal RNA". It matches the Rfam family "Bacterial large subunit ribosomal RNA", at positions 1726 to 1959 of the family's 2925-position model. Lineage: Eukaryota; Bacillariophyta; Fragilariophyceae; Cyclophorales; Cyclophoraceae. The record is from RNAcentral.